GAUGAACGCUAGCGACAGGCUUAACACAUGCAAGUCGAGGGGCAGCGAGGGCGUAGCAAUACGCCUGUCCGGCGACCGGCGCACUGGUGAGUAACACGUAUGCGACCUGCCCCCUACAGGGGGUAUAACCCCGGUGAAAAACCGGCCUAAUACCGUAUGAGGUCACAAGCGGACAUCCAACUGUGACGAAAGGCUUUGCGGUGAUGGAUGGGGAUGCGUCCGAUUAGCUUGACGGCGGGGUAACGGCCCACCGUGGCUACGAUCAGUAGGGGUUCUGAGAGGAAGGUCCCCCCACAUUGGAACUGAGACACGGUCCAAACUCCUACGGGAGGCAGCAGUGAGGAAUAUUGGUCAAUGGGCGGAAGCCUGAACCAGCCAAGUAGCGUGAGGGAUGACUGCCCUAUGGGUUGUAAACCUCUUUUAUAAGGGAAUAAAAUACGGGACGUGUCAUGUUUUGCAUGUACCUUAUGAAUAAGGACCGGCUAAUUCCGUG
Molecule: ribosomal RNA, 493 nt
Filed under: uncultured bacterium
Lineage: Bacteria
Description: bacterial SSU rRNA
Rfam family: Bacterial small subunit ribosomal RNA
Source: RNAcentral